UACGGGGGGGGCAAGCGUUGUUCGGAAUUACUGGGCGUAAAGGGCGCGUAGGCGGCCUGCUAAGUCGGAUGUGAAAUCCCUCGGCUCAACCGAGGAACUGCAUCCGAUACUGGCGGGCUUGAAUCCGGGAGAGGGAUGUGGAAUUCCAGGUGUAGCGGUGAAAUGCGUAGAUAUCUGGAAGAACACCGGUGGCGCAAGCGGCUUGCUGGGCUGUAACUGACGCUGAGGAACGAAAGCUAGGGUAGCGAAUGGG
This 253-nucleotide ribosomal RNA is filed under the name uncultured bacterium. RNAcentral's name for it is "partial 16S ribosomal RNA". It matches the Rfam family "Bacterial small subunit ribosomal RNA", at positions 524 to 776 of the family's 1533-position model. The record is from RNAcentral.